This 318-nucleotide long non-coding RNA is filed under the name Triticum aestivum (bread wheat). RNAcentral's name for it is "long non-coding RNA (TAES_LNC008968)". Lineage: Eukaryota; Viridiplantae; Streptophyta; Magnoliopsida; Poales; Poaceae. The record is from RNAcentral.
UGACGACGACAGCCGACAGGCAGCCUUGGCGCUUAGUCGACCUCCUCCAUCUUGCUCUCGCCGGCGUCGUCCUCCAGGGGCGGCAUGUCGGUGUCGUUCUCUGGCGCCUCGUCAUCCUCAUCAAUGCUCAGGCCAAGCUUGAGCAUGCGGUGGAUCCUGGUGCCGAAGGUGUUGGGGUCCUCCAGGCUGAAGCCGGAGGUGAGCAGGGAGGUCUCGAAGAGCAGCAUCACGAGGUCCUUGACAGACUUGUCGUUCUUGUCGGCAUCGGCACGCUUACGGAGCUCGUCCAUGAUGGCGUUCUCAGGGUUGAUCUCCAUG